This 489-nucleotide ribosomal RNA is filed under the name uncultured bacterium. RNAcentral's name for it is "partial 16S ribosomal RNA". It matches the Rfam family "Bacterial small subunit ribosomal RNA", at positions 28 to 507 of the family's 1533-position model. The record is from RNAcentral.
GACGAACGCUGGCGGCGUGCUUAACACGUGCAAGUCGAACGGAAAGGCCCCCACCUUGGUGGGGGUGCUCGAGUGGCGAACGGGUGAGUAACACGUGGGUGAUCUGCCCUGUACUUCGGGAUAAGCUUGGGAAACUGGGUCUAAUACCGGAUAGGACCAUGGUUUAGUGUCUCAUGGUGGAAAAAUUAUUGUUUUGGUGCAGGAUGAGCUCGCGGCCUAUCAGCUUGUUGGUGGGGUAAUGGCCUACCAAGGCGUCGACGGGUAGCCGGCCUGAGAGGGUGGACGGCCACAUUGGGACUGAGAUACGGCCCAGACUCCGACGGGAGGCAGCAGUGGGGAAUAUUGCACAAUGGGCGCAAGCCUGAUGCAGCGACGCCGCGUGGGGGAUGACGGCCGUCGGGUGGUAAACUCCUUUCGUUAGGGACGAAGCCACACCUUUUUUGGGUGUGGUGACGGUACCUUUGUUAAGAAGCACCGGCUAACUACGUG